GUACUACGAUUCUUUGGAUCUUGACCAUGAAAUUGCUUUUCCCCACAGUGCUUACGAACUGCCAAAUUAUCGUUGUCAGGUCUACUUGGAAUUGGUACCACACACAUUGGAUAUUGCGCUUUCUCGCUGACAUUUUUUCAAAAGAGUCCACAUCAGGAUGGAACACUCACAUGUAAAUAAAUAAACAUGUUUCAUCUUGCCAAUGACAUUCCUAUUGAAGGACGUCAGGGCCUUUGACGUUCUUCUGAAUUUGACAUGACGAACGACUAAUUAAGUUAAGCAAAAAAUAAACAAUUAAACAUCAUGUAGAAGGAUUGUUUACAAUUAUCUCUGAUGCAAUCAAUCAUGUGACAAUAUUUUGUUUCAAUCUUUUCACAAAAAAUAUUCUAACUCUACGCCAUAUAAUUUUCUUAUUUCCGAUGGAUUUCCGCCAAUUUAAGUCUUAAGCGAUGAUGGAUACAACGUCUAUUGGUGAGAUUUUUUCGGACGAUGCCAUUCGAAUAGUGAUGUAAUAAUGCAAACAUAUUUCCGUAUCGGUAGGUUUUUCUCCUCCUGUUCCUCCCGUUUCCCCCAGCAUAUCUCUUUUUACGUAUUUGGCAAUGUCUCGCUUCAGGCCCGUCCAGUUGUUGCGCGUGUCGUCGGGAAGUGGGACGCCAAAAUCUUCAUGCAGGACCAGGAGGCGGGUAGCGACUUGCUGCGGUGUAUUCAACGGCGGUUUCCCCAUUUGAGAGAGUUGUACGUCUGCAACAUAUCCAAGCAGAACGGCUCGUUUCACGGGGAAUAUCGGUUGGACGAAUUACGACGAAUCCUUUUGUACAGAAUGCAAACACGUACUUUUACCGGAUACAACAAUAAGACUCGAGCGAUCCACCCCCGCCUUAAUAUGGUCCAUGUAGUCCUUCAACCUUUCGAUCAUGGUGUUCAUACCUUGCAGCACCAUAUAUGCUCCCUCUAAAUCAGCACCGAUGGAGGGACGAGGGAGUUUUCUUGCUUGAGAAGAAAACUCCUGCCUCAUGGACCCACAACGGUUCUAGAUGCUCUCUUGGAAUUUUGGCGAUUUUACUGCCGUUUUCGCACAUGUCUGUGUUGAAGGGACGGCGGAAUAAAAGAAGGGCGGAGAAAAGCGGAAUAAGAGUGGGAGACUAGAGAGAGCCGGUGAUGAAGAGGAAAAAAAACGGAAUAUAUUUAUAUAUCCUUGAAUCAAAGUGAAAACAAUGGGAAUUUGGCUUUUCACUUUUAAAUGAUAAAGAAAAUGAAUAAUGACUUCACCUCAUUUCUAUUAAGUAUUUUGCAUCUCUCUUUUCUCUCGAUCUCUGAGACUCCCUCUUUCUUCCAUUUUCCCCAAUCUCUCGUUUUCAAAACUCUUCACUUCUCUCUAAAAUCGUCAAAACUGUAAGGUAGCGAGCUGACACCUCAAUAAUAAUGCCAAUCACCUCAACAUGAACUUAGUCAGAUAUUUAUUCUUGCCACAACCAAUUAUAAUACGAUCUUAAUCACUUCGUAUCAUAAUUUGUAAUCUUAAUGGAUCUUUUAUACAGCGCUCUCUGAGUUCGGGGAAUGUUCACCAUUAGAGCUUGAUGGGUUGAAACACCAUAUAACCAUAAAUUUGUAUUAAACCAUAACAUAAAAUAAGUGAUGCAAUGUACAUACUCAAAAUACACAAUACUGCUUGGACCAUAAAAAAGCAUAUUGUCUGUACAGCUUGGCCCAAAAGUAAUGACGAUACCAGCCAAAACUCUAUAUGUCAUGUUAACUACUGGUAGUGGUUUUAAAAUGUCUUUUCAUAGGACUUUGUAUACUGCCAAUUAAUAGAAGGAAACAUGAACUGUUGCAUACACGCACCAAACUUUGACAAGCACAUUAACUUCUCACCAAGUGUUGAUUUUGAAUCGUUCCAUCUGUGCUUCUGGGGCGAUCUAAUACCGCUGGUAAAGAUGGUUGUUCUCGGCCUUAAUAUGGUCCAUGUAGUCCUUCAACCUUUCGAUCAUGGUGUUCAUACCCUGCAGCACCAUAGAUGCUCCCUCUAAAUCAGCACCGAUGGAGGCACGAGGGAGUUUUCUUGCUAGAGAGGAAAACUCCUGCCUCAUGGACCCACAACGGUUCAAGAUGCUCUCUUGGAAUUUUGGCGAUUUUACUGCCGUAUUCGCACAUUUCGUGGUUGAAGGGACGGCGGAAUAAGGGCAGAGAAAAGCGUACACGCACCUAACUUUGACAAGCACAUUAACUUCUCACCAAGUGUUGAUUUUGAAUCGAUCCAUCUGUGCUUCUGGGGCGAUCUAAUCCCGCUGGUAAAGAUGGUGAUUCUCGGCAGUUUUGCCACUGCGGCCAAUUUGCUCUUAAUGGAUUACAAUGUUUUUUAAUUGUGCUUGCCUAACAUAGCAAUAUGGAGCCUUGAUGUAGCCCAUUGCCAAUGAUUUGGCAGAAGUCUGUAAAUUAAGGGCUCUGAUUCUGUGAACUGCCAUCUAAACCGGUGAUGAGUGAUCGCCCAUUUGACAAUUACGUAGAUCUUCAUUUUAAUAUAGUUCAUAUCCCUCAUAAUGCGGUACAUUCUAUUGUUGAAAAAAAAUACUGUUAUUAAUCGAGAUAUGUUUUUUAUGUUGAAGAUUAUUUGAUUCUCUGUAUUUUAAAAUUAAAUUUUCUGUUAUCUUCUAUUGUCAUGCUGUAAUUCACAUUGAAUGAAUUCCAUUUGUAUUUCAUAGAAAAAAGAGUCAAAUAUAUUUCUAAAUAACAUUUAAAAUGACAAUCAUUUGUAUUUCAUAGAAAAAGGGGUCAAAUAUAUUUUAAAAUCAUCAUUUAAAAAACGACAAUCAUCUUUAAUCCAGAGCUCUUAAUUCCUUAGGCCCCCAUUCCACAGAGCGGAGACCAUUGAAAGACCACUGAAAGACUUAAAAUUGGUGAGGUCUUACAGCGGUCUUCAAGAUCACUGAAAUUUGUCAUCUCUGUGGAAUGGCUCAGAAAGACCCCUCCAAGAACUCUAAAAGACUGAUGGAUAUUUCUUGUCUUACUGGUCUUAGACUAGUCCUAUAGAGAUCUUUCAAUGGUCUUUCAGAGAUCUUUUAUGCAACAAGUGAUCUUUCAGAAUUCUUUCCAUGGACUUUGCCUGGUCUUUCAAUGAUCUCUCAUGAGUCUUACAGUGAUCUCCGCAAAAAUCUUGAGAGACUGCCGAAAGAUCAUUGAAAGUUCAUCGAAAGACUGCUGAAAGACCGCUGGAAGACCACUGAAAGACCAUUUUCUUGUAAGACCGUUGUAAGACUGUUUAGAACCGUUUCAAAAAGUUUUGGAGCCCUUGAAGACCACGAAGACCGCUGAAAGAUUGGUCAGGACUUGUGUAAGACCUCAAAGACCAUUGUAGGUUCAUUGAGAGACCUCUGUAAGAUCGACCAAAAUUCAUGGUCUUUGAAAGGUCUUUCAGUGGUCUUGCUCUCUGUGGAAUGGCCCCUUAAGGCUACCAUGGUGCAGGGCCCUGUUAGAUAAAAGUUAACUUUGCCAUCCAAUGGUAACUACCGUGGUAACGGUGCUAAUCAGCCAAUCAAAAUCAAGGAUUUCAGGGAAGGUACCAUUGGAUGGCAAAGUUACCAUAAUAGUAAAUUUUAUGAAACUGGCCCCAGGAUAUCAGCUGUGAAAGAAGGAUGUCAAGUAGAAUCAUAUCCUGUGUGCAUCAAUGCCAAUUAAUAUUUUUCAUUUUCAAAAUACAUAAAUGUCUGUUCAUGCUGAAAUUCUACAUGAAUGUCUAUUCAUGCUGAAAUUCUACAUAAAUGUCUAUUCAUGCUGAAAUUCUUCCUCUUGGAUUAUUCAAGUUCUUUAUUUGCUUAAAGCAGGAAGAAAUAUUUGACUUUGGCCUUGGGUGUUAAUUAUAGGAAUGUAGUUCUCAUGACUAGAACAGGGCCCAUAUUCUUAAAACCUAACAGUCGAGUUAUCAUCGAAUUGUGUAUUUUUAAGUGUUUUAUGAGUAUGAGCCCUGGCAAUUCCAUUUUAAAAGGAUCAUUAUCUGCUAUAUACUUUUGUAAAAUGUAUUGAAAACAUGUAAGAAAUCUUAUCAUUCCAGUAUUAAAAACAGGACUUUAAGGCUGUACUUGAAAAUGAAUAUUUUAAAAGAAGGAUGCAUUAAACUGGAAAGUACUGUAAUAUGAAAUAUGUAUUACUUUUAAUAUGUACACUGUAUAUCAGGAAACCAAUCUAAUAAUACGUACAGUUCAUAAAUCGGAACUUCAAUCUGUGUUUUAGAAUUAAAUUUAAAGCAAAGAUUUUAUUUCUUGCCCUCAUAUAGUUAAUCUGCAAUUGAGAAAGUUGAGCGAAGCUUAAUGUGAGUGCAAGUGUGUAACAUGUGAGAGUUUAAGAUAUAUACAUUCUAAUCACUGGCAAUGCAGAUGAGUCCAAAAUAGUUUUUUUUUGUCUAAUAAAUGUGAUGAUAGCACAGAUGAACUGUAGGAUUUGAGUGUAACAACCAAGUGAAUUGCUCACCCCCUUCCCCUCCCCCAAUAUCAGUGUUCAAUGAAUUUACAGUACCGGAUACUUGUGUUUGUACUUUUCUUUUCAUUGAAACUAAAUAUAAGCUCCACCUGGUUGAAUGUGUGACAAAAUGCAUUGCUUCUGCUGUGAUAUACCAAAUUAAAUAUCUACUCACCUUUCAGUUUCCAACAAAGGUUGUUAGAAGAGAGCUAAAGUCUAGAGAUUAUUGUAUUCAUUUAUUUAUGUACAUUUGCAACUACACACUGUGCAGAUACGAUCACCUUAUUUGAGAUUUGUAAUCAGCUAUGCUCACUUUACAUGUCUUAUGAAGUGAUACUAUGGUUUAGUCUUGCUUGUUUGAUAACCCAUUUUGUUUAAAUAUCAACAGUAAGUGAAAUUGUACUUCGUCUAACUUGAUAUUUUCCAAUACCAUUUCUUUUGUUUUGAAAUUUUAUAAUGGUGUUAAGUGAAAUGAUUUUUUUUUCUGAGUUAACUAUAAUAUCAUGAAAAAGUGAAAUGCAUUUUGGCAAAAAGUAAACCAUAUCUCUGUGAUUUAGUGUAAUGAAUUUUAUGAAAAGUGAAAUAUAUAUGUUUUAAGGUGAAAUAAAAAUUUGUUAGAGUGAAAUGAUUUAGCAAAAGAGUUCAACAUUUGUAAAAGUGAGAUAUAUUUUGUAUUGAAUCCCUAAUAGCAUGUCAUAUUGUACCUUGAAAGUUUGAUCUGUUUAUGUGUGCUGCAUUUUACAUGUACCUUAUAUGUAUUCCAUUUUAAAAAAUGUAUCUGUAAAUAGAUUUUUCUAUAUUUAGCCACUGAAAUAAAUUUCACUUAAGAUUA
Molecule: long non-coding RNA, 5281 nt
Organism: Lytechinus pictus (painted urchin)
Lineage: Eukaryota; Metazoa; Echinodermata; Echinoidea; Temnopleuroida; Toxopneustidae
Exons: 2
Source: RefSeq, a predicted model, not a curated record